AUUAGAUAGACAAGUUUGGUUUAU
Molecule: non-coding RNA, 24 nt
Filed under: Arabidopsis thaliana (thale cress)
Lineage: Eukaryota; Viridiplantae; Streptophyta; Magnoliopsida; Brassicales; Brassicaceae
Source: RNAcentral